GUGACGGGAAUGACGGUACUCUGGGAAUAGCAUCGGCUAACUCCGUGCCAGCAGCCGCGGUAAUACGGAGGAUGCGAGCGUUAUCCGGAUUUAUUGGGUUUAAAGGGUGCGUAGGCGGAUAGAUAAGUCAGUGGUGAAAUUCUGCAGCUUAACUGUAGACUUGCCGUUGAUACUGUCAGUCUUGAGUAUGGUCAAGGCAGGCGGAAUGUGUAAUGUAGCGGUGAAAUGCUUAGAUAUUACACAGAACACCGAUUGCGAAGGCAGCUUGCUGGGCCAUUACUGACGCUGAUGCACGAAAGCGUGGGGAUCGAACAGGAUUAGAUACCCUGGUAGUCCACGCCGUAAACGAUGAUCACUCGCUGUUGGCGAUACACAGUCAGCGGCUAAGCAAAAGCAUUAAGUGAUCCACCUGGGGAGUACGGCCGCAAGGCUGAAACUCAAAGGAAUUGACGGGGGCCCGCACAAGCGGAGGAACAUGUGGUUUAAUUCGAUGAUACGCGAGGAACCUUACCUGGGCUUAAAUGUAGAGUGCAUUGGUGAGAAAUCAUCAUUUUCUUCGGAACUCUCUGCAAGGUGCUGCAUGGUUGUCGUCAGCUCGUGCCGUGAGGUGUCGGGUUAAGUCCCAUAACGAGCGCAACCCUUAUCGUUAGUUGCCAGCGGGUAAUGCCGGGGACUCUAGCGAAACCGCCGGUGUAAACCGAGAGGAAGGUGGGGAUGACGUCAAAUCAGCACGGCCCUUAUGUCCAGGGCUACACACGUGUUACAAUGGCCGGUACAGAGGGCAGCUACCUGGAGACAGGAUGCGAAUCUCGAAAGCCGGUCUCAGUUCGGAUCGGAGUCUGCAACUCGACUCCGUGAAGCUGGAUUCGCUAGUAAUCGCGCAUCAGCCAUGGCGCGGUGAAUACGUUCCCGGGCCUUGUACACACCGCCCGU
Molecule: ribosomal RNA, 933 nt
Filed under: uncultured bacterium
Lineage: Bacteria
Description: bacterial SSU rRNA
Rfam family: Bacterial small subunit ribosomal RNA
Source: RNAcentral